UGGCGGCGUGCUUACACAUGCAGUCUACGAGAACGAGGUAGCAAUAUCUUUAGUAAAGUGGCGUACGGGUGCGUAACACGUAAGUAAUCUACCUUUGGGUUCGGAAUAACUUCGGGAAAUCGGAGCUAAUACCGGAUAAUGCAGCGGCACCGCAUGGUGAUGUUGUUAAAGUUUGUGUAAUGCCUAAAGAUGAACUUGCGUCUGAUUAGCUAGUUGGUGAGGUAAUGGCUCACCAAGGCUGCGAUCAGUAGCUGGUCUGAGAAGAUGAUCAGCCACACUGGAACUGAGACACGGUCCAGACUCCUACGGGAGGCAGCAGUGAGGAAUAUUGGGCAAUGCCCGAAAGGGUGACCCAGCAACGCCGCGUGGAGGAUGAAGGUCGUAAGAUUGUAAACUCCUGUUAGAGGGGAAGAAUAACUAAGUUUGGAGCUUAGUGUGACUGUACCCUC
Molecule: ribosomal RNA, 449 nt
Filed under: uncultured bacterium
Lineage: Bacteria
Description: bacterial SSU rRNA
Rfam family: Bacterial small subunit ribosomal RNA
Source: RNAcentral